AAGGAAUAUUGGUCAAUGGGCGCAAGCCUGAACCAGCCAUGCCGCGUGCAGGAAGACGGCCCUCCGGGUUGUAUACUGCUUUUGUACGGGAAUAAACCUCGCUACGUGCAGCGAGCUGAAUGUACCGUAAGAAUAAGGAUCGGCUAACUCCGUGCCAGCAGCCGCGGUAAUACGGAGGAUCCAAGCGUUAUCCGGAUUUAUUGGGUUUAAAGGGUGCGUAGGCGGCCUAUUAAGUCAGGGGUGAAAGACGGUAGCACAACUAGCGCAGUGCCCUUGAUACUGAUGGGCUUGAAUGAACGAGAGGUAGGCGGAAUGUGGCGUGUAGCGGUGAAAUGCAUAGAUAUGUCGCAGAACACCGAUUGCGAAGGCAGCUUACUACGGUUUUAUUGAUGCUGAGGCGCGAAAGCGUGGGGAUCAAACA
Molecule: ribosomal RNA, 421 nt
Filed under: uncultured bacterium
Lineage: Bacteria
Description: bacterial SSU rRNA
Rfam family: Bacterial small subunit ribosomal RNA
Source: RNAcentral